Molecule: ribosomal RNA, 406 nt
Filed under: uncultured bacterium
Lineage: Bacteria
Description: partial 16S ribosomal RNA
Rfam family: Bacterial small subunit ribosomal RNA
Source: RNAcentral
AUUGAACGCUGGCGGCAGGCCUAACACAUGCAAGUCGAACGAGCGGCGGACGGGUGCGUACUGCCUAUGAAUCUGCCUGGUAGUGGGGGAUAACGUCCGCAAACGGAAGCUCAUACCGCAUACCCUCGGCAGUGCCUAGAUGGGGAUAGACAGUAGGUGGGGUACAGGCACCCCUAGGCGACGAUCCCUAGCGGGUCCGAGAGGAUGACCAGCCACACUGGAACUGAGACACGGUCCAGACUCCUACGAGAGGAAGCAGUGGGGAAUAUUGCACAAUGGGCGCAAGCCUGAUGCAGCCAUGCCGCGUGUAUGAAGAGGGCCUUCUGGUUGUAAAGUACUUUCAGCGGGGAGGCGUUACCCGCAGAAGAAGCACCGGCUAACUCCGUGCCAGCAGCCGCGGUAAUUC